This 757-nucleotide ribosomal RNA is filed under the name uncultured Archaeoglobales archaeon. RNAcentral's name for it is "bacterial SSU rRNA". It matches the Rfam family "Archaeal small subunit ribosomal RNA", at positions 102 to 859 of the family's 1478-position model. The record is from RNAcentral. Lineage: Archaea; Methanobacteriati; Methanobacteriota; Archaeoglobi; Archaeoglobales.
GGACAACCUGCCCUCGGGAGGGGGAUAACCCCGGGAAACUGGGGCUAAACCCCCAUAGGGGAUGGAUACUGGAAUGUUCCAUCUCCGAAAGUCCGCAAGGAGCCCGAGGAUGGGUUUGCGGCGGAUUAGGUAGUUGGUGGGGUAACGGCCCACCAAGCCUAAGAUCCGUACGGGCCAUGGGAGUGGGAGCCCGGAGGUGGACCCUGAGACAAGGGUCCAGGCCCUACGGGGCGCAGCAGGCGCGAAACCUCCGCAAUGCGGGAAACCGCGACGGGGUCAGCCGGAGUGCCGAUGCUUGCAUCGGCUGUCGGGGAGCCUAAAAAGCUCCCCAAGCAAGGGCCGGGCAAGGCCGGUGGCAGCCGCCGCGGUAAUACCGGCGGCCCGAGUGGUGGCCACUAUUAUUGGGCUUAAAGCGUCCGUAGCCGGGUUGGUUAGUCUCCCGGGAAAUCUGGCCGCUCAACGGUCAGAAUGCCGGGAGAUACUGCCAGCCUAGGGACCGGGAGAGGCCGAGGGUAUUCCCGGAGUAGGGGUGAAAUCCUAUAAUCCCGGGAGGACCACCUGUGGCGAAGGCGCUCGGCUGGAACGGGUCCGACGGUGAGGGACGAAGGCCAGGGGAGCAAACCGGAUUAGAUACCCGGGUAGUCCUGGCUGUAAACGAUGCGGACUUUGUGUCGGACAAGCUAUGAGCUUGUCCGGUGCCGGAGGGAAACCGUUAAGUCCGCCGCCUGGGGAGUACGGCCGCAAGGCUGAAACUUAA